GAUGAAGAACGUAGCGAAAUGCGAUACGUAAUGUGAAUUGCAGAAUUCAGUGAAUCAUCGAAUCUUUGAACGCACAUUGCACUCUCUGGUAUUCCUGAGAGUAUGCUUGUUUGAGUAUCUGUAAACAUCUCAAAUCUCUCUUCAAUUGCUUCAAUUGGGUCGAGAGAAUUGGAUUUGAGCGAUCCCGACUCCUUCGUCAGAAAGAGGAGGGUCGCUUGAAAUGCAGGUGCAGCUGGACAUUCUUCUGAGCAAAAAGCAUAUCUAUUUAGUCCCGUCAAACGGAUUAUUACUUUUGCUUCAGCUAAUAUAAAGGUUGAAUGAACUACCAACGCUGAUUGCAGGAAAACAUGUUCGUUUAUUCGGACUUGUAAACUCGAUCUCAAAUCAAGUAAGACUACCCGCUGAACUUAAGCAUAUCAAUAAGCGGAGGA
This 431-nucleotide unclassified non-coding RNA is filed under the name soil metagenome. RNAcentral's name for it is "partial contains 5.8S ribosomal RNA, internal transcribed spacer 2, and large subunit ribosomal RNA". The stretch from base 1 to 120 matches the Rfam family "5.8S ribosomal RNA", at positions 35 to 154 of the family's 154-position model. The record is from RNAcentral.